This 279-nucleotide ribosomal RNA is filed under the name uncultured bacterium. RNAcentral's name for it is "partial 16S ribosomal RNA". It matches the Rfam family "Bacterial small subunit ribosomal RNA", at positions 506 to 784 of the family's 1533-position model. The record is from RNAcentral.
UGCCAGCCGCCGCGGUAAUACGGAGGGUGCAGGCGUUGUUCGGAAUUACUGGGCGUAAAGCGCGCGUAGGUGGUUAUAUAAGUCAGAUGUGAAAGUCCACGGCUCAACCGUGGAAGUGCAUUUGAAACUGUAUAACUUGAGUACUGGAGGGGGUAGUGGAAUUCCCGGUGUAGAGGUGAAAUUCGUAGAUAUCGGGAGGAAUACCGGUGGCGAAGGCAUUCUGCUGGUCAUUACCUGACGCUGAGGGACGAAAGCGUGGGGAGCGAACGGGAUUAGAUA